GAUGAAGAACGUAGUGAAAUGCGAUAAGUAAUGCGAAUUGCAGAAUUCCAGUGAGUCAUCGAAUCUUUGAACGCACAUUGCGCCCUUUGGUAUUCCGAAGGGCAUGCCUGUUCGAGCGUCAUUAUCACCCCUCAAGCCCCCUGGCUUGGUGUUGGACGGUUGGCGAUGACCCCCGGGUCGUCGCCCCUCCCAAAGACAAUGACGGCGGCCUCGUUGGACCCCCGGUACACUGAGUUCUUCACGGGACACGUACUGGAUCAAGGGUGCGCGGAGCACGGUCUUACCAUUUCACCCCUCGCGGGCGGAAUAAUUUUUCUAGGUUGACCUCGGAUCAGGUAGGGAUACCCGCUGAACUUAAGCAUAUCAAUAAGCGGAGGA
This 378-nucleotide unclassified non-coding RNA is filed under the name soil metagenome. Its description in RNAcentral is "partial contains 5.8S ribosomal RNA, internal transcribed spacer 2, and large subunit ribosomal RNA". The stretch from base 1 to 121 matches the Rfam family "5.8S ribosomal RNA", at positions 35 to 154 of the family's 154-position model. The record is from RNAcentral.